RNAcentral lists this ribosomal RNA (252 nucleotides) under uncultured bacterium. Its description in RNAcentral is "partial 16S ribosomal RNA". It matches the Rfam family "Bacterial small subunit ribosomal RNA", at positions 524 to 776 of the family's 1533-position model. The record is from RNAcentral.
UACGUAGGGGGCUAGCGUUAUCCGGAAUUACUGGGCGUAAAGGGUGCGUAGGUGGUUUCUUAAGUCAGAGGUGAAAGGCUACGGCUCAACCGUAGUAAGCCUUUGAAACUGGGAAACUUGAGUGCAGGAGAGGAGAGUGGAAUUCCUAGUGUAGCGGUGAAAUGCGUAGAUAUUAGGAGGAACACCAGUUGCGAAGGCGGCUCUCUGGACUGUGACUGACACUGAGGCACGAAAGCGUGGGGAGCAAACAGG